UGUAUUCCAUACAUCCGUGCUCUAUGAUCCAUCUUUAACAACCUAUGAGAACAAUUCUAUGUUAUAUUAACUAAUUUAAUGAGCUAUGGCUCGCAAUUCUAUAAACUCAUUUAAAUUAUGGAUGUAGUAACUAAUAAGUAGGAAGAAAUAUAGUAAAAAUAAUUCUAUAUUACCCUAAAUGAAACUCAAUUAAACCAUGGAUGUAAUAAUUAAUAGGUAGAAGGAAAA
This 228-nucleotide long non-coding RNA is filed under the name Setaria italica (foxtail millet). RNAcentral's name for it is "long non-coding RNA (SITA_LNC001053)". Lineage: Eukaryota; Viridiplantae; Streptophyta; Magnoliopsida; Poales; Poaceae. The record is from RNAcentral.